Molecule: long non-coding RNA, 565 nt
Organism: Portunus trituberculatus (swimming crab)
Lineage: Eukaryota; Metazoa; Arthropoda; Malacostraca; Decapoda; Portunidae
Exons: 3
Source: RefSeq, a predicted model, not a curated record
AUGGGGAUGAGCCAAUGUCUGGGCCGAUGUCCAACUCCCCUCCCAGCCCCUCACCCCCGAUGGCUACUGACGGGGAGGAGUUGCUAAUCAGGAUGCUCUUCUCAUUCUGCAACGGAUGGGAGUGUGUUCAGUGGUUUGACCCACACUGCUCUCUCCCACCACCUGUCAGCCACCAAUGCACCACCAGCAAGAAAUGAAACACUACUCUGUACCAUCACCUUCAAACUCCAACCCUGCCUUCCUCCAAUGUAACCUAACUGACAGAAGAAUCCUCAAGUCACCUCACUGUCACUGUCUUCCAUCUGAUGUAACCUAACUGACAGAAGAACCCUCAAGUCACCUCACUCCACCACAAACAGCAUUGAGGAAAAGCAGCAGCAGUUCUCUUCAGUGAUGGGACAAAUAAAAACUGCAGUGAGGGAAAGCAGUAGCAGUCCUCUUAAGUGAUGAGAGAAACAAGUGAAAGCUGGAUUGAGAAGACUGAUGCUAAAGAAGAGGAAGGUGAAUCUGCUUUUGUUUACUGACGAUACUGCACUGGUAGCCGAGAAAGCAAAGACAACUAGAG